UGGGCUUGAUAUCCUAAGAACCUCUUAGAGAUAAGAGGGUGCUAGCUUGCUAGAACUUAGAGACAGGUGCUGCACGGCUGUCGUCAGCUCGUGUCGUGAGAUGUUCGGUUAAGUCCGGCAACGAGCGCAACCCACGUAUUUAGUUGCUAACAGUUUGGCUGAGCACUCUAAAUAUACUGCCUUCGUAAGGAGGAGGAAGGUGUGGACGACGUCAAGUCAUCAUGGCCCUUAUGCCCAGGGCGACACACGUGCUACAAUGGCAUAUACAAUGAGACGCAAUAUCGCGAGAUGGAGCAAAUCUAUAAAAUAUGUCCCAGUUCGGAUUGUUCUCUGCAACUCGAGAGCAUGAAGCCGGAAUCGCUAGUAAUCGUAGAUCAGCCAUGCUACGGUGAAUACGUUCCCGGGUCUUGUACUCACCGCCCGUCACACCAUGGGAGUUGAUUUCACUCGAAGCCCAAAUACCAAACUGGUUAUGGUCCACAGUGGAAUCAGCGACUGGGGUGAAGUCGUAACAAGGUAACCGUAGGAGAACCUGCGGUUGGAUCACCUCCUUUCUA
This 557-nucleotide ribosomal RNA is filed under the name Campylobacter hyointestinalis subsp. lawsonii. Its description in RNAcentral is "bacterial SSU rRNA". It matches the Rfam family "Bacterial small subunit ribosomal RNA", at positions 976 to 1533 of the family's 1533-position model. Lineage: Bacteria; Pseudomonadati; Campylobacterota; Epsilonproteobacteria; Campylobacterales; Campylobacteraceae. The record is from RNAcentral.